GCACUACUGAGGAGUCCCAUGAUAAUAGGACGAAACGACCGUCCAGUGU
RNAcentral lists this non-coding RNA (49 nucleotides) under Schistosoma mansoni. Lineage: Eukaryota; Metazoa; Platyhelminthes; Trematoda; Strigeidida; Schistosomatidae. The record is from RNAcentral.